UCUGAUUUAGCGGCGGACGGGUGAGUAAUGCCUAGGAAUCUGCCUGGUAGUGGGGGAUAACGUUCCGAAAGGAACGCUAAUACCGCAUACGUCCUACGGGAGAAAGCAGGGGACCUUCGGGCCUUGCGCUAUCAGAUGAGCCUAGGUCGGAUUAGCUAGUUGGUGAGGUAAUGGCUCACCAAGGCGACGAUCCGUAACUGGUCUGAGAGGAUGAUCAGUCACACUGGAACUGAGACACGGUCCAGACUCCUACGGGAGGCAGCAGUGGGGAAUAUUGGACAAUGGGCGAAAGCCUGAUCCAGCCAUGCCGCGUGUGUGAAGAAGGUCUUCGGAUUGUAAAGCACUUUAAGUUGGGAGGAAGGGCAUUAACCUAAUACGUUAGUGUUUUGACGUUACCAACAGAAUAAGCACCGGCUAACUUCGUGCCAGCAGCCGCGGUAAUACGAAGGGUGCAAGCGUUAAUCGGAAUUACUGGGCGUAAAGCGCGCGUAGGUGGUUCGUUAAGUUGGAUGUGAAAGCCCCGGGCUCAACCUGGGAACUGCAUCCAAAACUGGCGAGCUAGAGUACGGUAGAGGGUAGUGGAAUUUCCUGUGUAGCGGUGAAAUGCGUAGAUAUAGGAAGGAACACCAGUGGCGAAGGCGACUACCUGGACUGAUACUGACACUGAGGUGCGAAAGCGUGGGGAGCAAACAGGAUUAGAUACCCUGGUAGUCCACGCCGUAAACGAUGUCAACUAGCCGUUGGAAUCCUUGAGA
Molecule: ribosomal RNA, 755 nt
Filed under: Ectopseudomonas mendocina
Lineage: Bacteria; Pseudomonadati; Pseudomonadota; Gammaproteobacteria; Pseudomonadales; Pseudomonadaceae
Description: bacterial SSU rRNA
Rfam family: Bacterial small subunit ribosomal RNA
Source: RNAcentral